Molecule: long non-coding RNA, 1318 nt
Filed under: Callithrix jacchus (white-tufted-ear marmoset)
Lineage: Eukaryota; Metazoa; Chordata; Mammalia; Primates; Cebidae
Description: lncRNA (ENSCJAG00000084980.1)
Source: RNAcentral
AUGGAGAGGCGCGCGGGGCGGGUGGAAACGCGUGCUCGCCCCGCACCUCCGCAUCCGCGAGGGGAGGCUCCUGCCCCGCGCCGCAGCCAGUCCCCGCGCGCUCGCCCCCGCGCCUCCCUCCCGCGCCCCCGCUCCUCCGGCCGCCCCCGCGCCCCCCGCCGCCUCCUCCGCCCGUGGACCGCUGCGCGCUGCUGCCCCGGGGGGCUGGCGUUUCCACCUGUCACCGCGCCGCCGCCGCCGCCGCCCAAGUUUUCAGGGAACUUACCUGGCGCGUCGUGUGCCUCAGGCUCUUCCCCAUGGCCGCCGCCCCCUCCUCCCGCCAGCUCCCCGGGCCCCCCGCGCCCCCCGCCCAGCCCUGCGGCCGCCGGGCCCGAUGAACGCCAGCAGCGGGGACUCGGGGGGUGGGAGCCCCGCGCGCAGCCGCCCGCACCCGAGCGCUCCUGCUUCCGAGCAGCCACGCAGCGUCCGUCCGGGGCAGGAGCAUUGCGGAUGCGGCGCGGGGCCGGCGCGGGGCUCCGGGCGCUCUCGGGGGUCGUGAGCGCCGCGCCCCGCGCCCCCGCACGCCCCCCACCGGCCCGCGCGCCCCGCCGGGGCCAUGCAGUCUCUCAUGUCGCCGGUGACCAAGGCGAUCCUGGUGGCCCUGUUCAGCUUCGCCAUCCUCCUCAUCCUCUACGUGAUUCUCUGGUACAUCUGCCGCGAUGUGGACUGCGACCACGGCAUCUGAGCGCCGCCGGACCCCCGGGCCGCCACGCGGGGGGCGUCCGCGGCGGGAGGGCCCUGGGGACUGAGCGGUCCCGCGGUGCCCCCAGCUUGGCGCUGGAGACCCCCGCCCCGGGCCCCGCCGCCGGCCCUGCACCGCCUCCUGGCCUUGACCUUCAGCGACGCGCCGGGGAGAGCGGAGUUUCCCUGUUGUUACCCAGACUGGAGUGAAAUGGCGUGAUCUCGGCUCACCACAACCUCCACCUUCUGGGUUCAAGCAAUUCUCCUGCCUCAGCCUCCCGAGUAGCUGCGAUUACAGGCACGCGCCACUGUGCCCAGCUAAUUUUUGUAUUUUUAGUAGAGACGGGGUUUCACCAUGUUGACCAGGAUGGUCUCGAUCUCUUGGCCUCGUGAUCCACCCGCCUCGGCCUCCCAAAGUGCUGGGAUUAUAGGCGUGAGCCACUGCGCCCGGCCAUGUAUGUAUAUUUUUAUAUUUACUUAAAUAUAUGAAGUUACAGUUUCAGUAUUUUUAAGUUAAUUAAAUAUGUACAAAUUUUAUUAAAAUGUUUUCCUAUAAAUAUAUUUAAUCACUAUAUCAAAUAGUCUAAUUUCAACAUAU